RNAcentral lists this transfer RNA (85 nucleotides) under Felis catus (domestic cat). It matches the Rfam family "tRNA". Rfam says of the family: Transfer RNA (tRNA) molecules are approximately 80 nucleotides in length. Their secondary structure includes four short double-helical elements and three loops (D, anti-codon, and T loops). Lineage: Eukaryota; Metazoa; Chordata; Mammalia; Carnivora; Felidae. The record is from Rfam by way of RNAcentral.
GUCUGGCUGGCUCAGUCGGUAAAGCAUCGGACUUCAGCUCAGGUCAUGACCUCGUGGUUUGUGGGUUCAAGCCCCACAUCAGGCU